This 2588-nucleotide unclassified non-coding RNA is filed under the name Portunus trituberculatus (swimming crab). Its description in RNAcentral is "phosphatidylinositol 3,4,5-trisphosphate 3- phosphatase and dual-specificity protein phosphatase PTEN- like, transcript variant X11". Lineage: Eukaryota; Metazoa; Arthropoda; Malacostraca; Decapoda; Portunidae. The record is from RNAcentral.
AGUCAGUUGACGUGCGGUGAGGAUAGAGCGAGCAAUGGAGGCGAGGGGGUGAUGAUUCUCUCUCCUAUCAUAAUUACUCCCAUGACGCCACCAUGAGCAAGGGCAUCCGUAACCUGGUGUCUAAAAGGAAAAGAAGGUUCAAGGAAAAUGGAUACGACCUCGAUCUCAGCUACAUCACCGAGAGGCUUAUCGCGAUGGGUUUCCCCGCCCAGAAGCUGGAGGGGGUGUACAGGAACCACAUUGAUGACGUCUCUCGCUUCCUGGAGGAGAGGCACAAGGACCACUACCGUAUCUAUAACUUGUGUUCAGAGCGGAACCGUUCCUACGACGAGUCACGGUUCCACAACAGAGUAAGGACCUUCCCCUUCGCUGACCACAAUCCGCCGCCACUCAUAAACAUCCAGCCGCUCUGUAACGACAUCAGCAAGUGGCUCUCGCAGGACCAGAAGAAUGUGGCGGUGGUGCACUGUAAGGCUGGAAAGGGCCGCACUGGAGUAAUGAUCUGCUGUUACCUCCUCCACUGCCACCACACUUGUCUGGCGCAGGAGGCUCUCGACUUUUAUGGGGACAAGAGGACCUUUGACAGAAAAGGUGUGACUAUCCCCAGCCAAAGACGCUACGUGGAAUACUACGCCAAACUAGUCAGCUCCAACUUUAACUAUAACCCACCUUAUGUACGGCUGAGGGAGGCGCGCAUGACCCCACCUCUCUCCAGCGUCAACUCAGAGGUGGUUCUGGUGGUGAGCUCGCACACCAACAAGAAGGGGUACAGUACGCAGGUGUGUGAGGUGAAGAAGGGCAAGGAGGCGCUGCACCUGCUCGUUAAGGAGGAGGUAGCCAGACCCAUCUCAGGUGACAUCAAGAUUGAGCUUAAGAGGACCAACUUUGUAAGGCGAACGGAUAAGCUGUUUAGUGCCUGGCUGAACACUCACUUCAUUUUCGAGGAGGGCAAGAAAGUGACCAACGGGUUCGAGAUCAUUGCGUCUGACCAGAGCAACCACAACACCUGCGGCCCACACCAGAUCACCCGGCAAAGGAGCAACAGUUUUCGGGCGUCAAACAAGUCGGAGGGGCACAGACACAGACGGCAGGAGUCAGCGGAGGGGCGGGCAGCUCUCUCGGGGCUUGGGGGCGGGGGGAUGGACCAGCACCCACCCCGAGAACCCCGCCGGAGGAACAGAGUGGCCGGGGAGAGUAAAAGUUUACCUACCGGUCACUUGACGUGCUUAGCGGCUCAGGAGGAUUGGCACCCACUUCCCCCGCCACAGCCGCCGCCACCCUCCCCCGGUGAUGCCAGCCCCCCGCCGCACCUCCGCCACCAUGCCAGACAGGACAGCCGCCACCGCCGCCGCCACCACACUCAGCAACUUCCCAGUGAGGGUGGUGGUUCGGGCGAGACAUGGGAGGAGGGGCGGCCGGAGGAACAAGAGGUGCUGGUUGUGCUAAAGAAGGACCAGUUGGACAAAGCGAGCAAGGACACACACCAUAAGCUUCUCCCGCAAGAUUUCCAGAUUGAGCUGUGGUGGCUGGUGACGUACGUGAACAAGGGUGGUGGGGGCAGCAGCAGCAGCAGCAACAAUGCGGUGGACUCUCGGGACAGUGGCUCCACCCCCAGCACCAUCACUCCCUCUGGCUCCUCGUCCGAUACUGAUGACGAUGAGGAGGACGAGGAUGAGGACGAGGACUGGGAUUCAGGUAGUGGCGAUGGCCACUGCCCUGAGCGCUACGUGGGGCGUUACCGCCUCAUGUCAGACUGCUCUGCGGCCCAACCCAACCAUUUCAACCCACCGGAGGGGCCUACAUGACCCUAGCCCCCCAUCCUUAUCCUCUCCCUCAUCCUCUCCCUCAUUCUCUCCCUCAUCCUAGCCUUCCCCCUCAUCCCUUUUCUAACCCUCACUCUCCUCACAUCAUCACUAUCCACCUCCUUCCCCUCACACUCCCUCCCGUCCCCAUCCUUCACUGCUUCCACCACCACUGCUGCCACCACCACCACCACCACCACCACCACCACCACCACCACCACCACCACCACCGUCGCCACUACCAGGCCAAAGCUCCACCCACGGAGGGGUUGGAGGUACUGCUGUGACAACCCCUCCACCUACACACCUCCACCACCACCACCACCACCACCUUUCCAUCACCACCACCACACCUCACCCCACCACCACCACCACCACCACCACCACUUCUCUGGGACCUGCUGGGGUGGAGGGGCUGUGCUGUGGGGAGUGGGGUGCUUGGGCGACCCCACUCCACCUCACCCUUAUCACCCGGCUCCCUCCCCUCUCACCACUCCACCACCACCACCACCACCGCUGCCAGUCUCGGUUGAUUUAAAAGGUGGCUUCAUGCAGUUCCGUUUUCUAUUUCAUCCCGUUUUCUAUUUCAUCCCGUUUUCUCCUCCUCCGGCAUCCCAGACUCACUCAUUUAUUGUUUUGUUUCCAUCUCAUCUCUCAUCAGCAAUAUUUUCCCUGUAAAGACAAAAAAAGUUAAAAAAAGAGAAAAAAAAGUGAAUUAGGAAAAAAAAAGAGGCGAACAUAUAUAGCAUAAAUAUAUGAAUAUAUGAAUAUAUAUAUUAUACUAUA